AUUGAACGCUGGCGGCAGGCCUAACACAUGCAAGUCGAGCGGAUGAAGGGAGCUUGCUCCUGGAUUCAGCGGCGGACGGGUGAGUAAUGCCUAGGAAUCUGCCUGGUAGUGGGGGAUAACGUCCGGAAACGGGCGCUAAUACCGCAUACGUCCUGAGGGAGAAAGUGGGGGAUCUUCGGACCUCACGCUAUCAGAUGAGCCUAGGUCGGAUUAGCUAGUUGGUGGGGUAAAGGCCUACCAAGGCGACGAUCCGUAACUGGUCUGAGAGGAUGAUCAGUCACACUGGAACUGAGACACGGUCCAGACUCCUACGGGAGGCAGCAGUGGGGAAUAUUGGACAAUGGGCGAAAGCCUGAUCCAGCCAUGCCGCGUGUGUGAAGAAGGUCCUCGGAUUGUAAAGCACUUUAAGUUGGGAGGAAGGGCAGUAAGUUAAUACCUUGCUGUUUUGACGUUACCAACAGAAUAAGCACCGGCUAACUUCGUA
This 484-nucleotide ribosomal RNA is filed under the name uncultured bacterium. RNAcentral describes it as "partial 16S ribosomal RNA". It matches the Rfam family "Bacterial small subunit ribosomal RNA", at positions 30 to 507 of the family's 1533-position model. The record is from RNAcentral.